GAAACUUCCACGAUAUUAGUAGCACCCUAGUCCUCUUUCCAGAAGCUCCUGCCUGCAGGCUCUGCCAUAGCCGCAUCCUGUCUGCUCACUGAGCUCAUUCCCCACCAGCAGCACCAGUCUUGUGAGAAGCUCCUCGGGCCCUGCCCCCUGUCUCCUUGAACUGGGAUGGACUGAACUAUGUCUCCUGGAAUAGACUGAACUGUGUCUUUCCCAUGCUCCUAUGAGGACAUCCUCAUCCCCAGAGUGAAGGUAUUUGGAGACAGGGUCUUUGGGAGAUGACUAUGGUUAGGGAAGGUCUGAGAGUGGGGCCCUAUGAUGGAAUUAGUGCCCUUAUGAGAAGCAACACCAGAAAGAGAGUCCUUGCGAGCUGUCUCUCCACCCCCACCAUGUGAACACAGAGCGGACGCAGCCUUGCACACCGGCAAGGCAGGGAGCCCUCACCAGGAACUGAAUCAGCCAUCACCUUGUUCCUGGACCUCCAGCCUCCAGGUGGGUCAGGUGCACUGAGUCAGUGAAUGAAUGAAGGGCUGGUUCCUGUGCCCAUGUCUGCACGUGUCCUCCCUCUGCCCGGGCAUCUCCUGGAGCCCGGUAUAGGCAGACUCCAGCAGGACCUGUGCUGCACGCCUCAACUCCCCAGGCCCCUCCCUUCACUUGUUUAGAAAUGCACUGGAAAUACUGUGGGCGCCAUUUUCACCAAUCGAGUGUGCGGAAGCUUUUAGUAAACACGGGUUACUUUGAUGCUAAUUAUAUUUAAAUAACAUGUGUGUCUACAAUUAUAUAAUUAUACAUAUAUGUAAAUACAGAAAAAAAUACCAAAAAAUAAUGAACUAUUCCCAGGCAGGGGUCUUCUGAAGGUUAUGGGAUCAUUUUGACUUGCUCUUCUUUAUACCCUUGAGUAUUCUCCAACUUGCUUACAAUGAGCGCGGAUUCUUUUUUUAAUAAGCAGAAAAAAAUGUUGCUUUUAACAUUUAGGAAGCUGUCCUGAGUAUCUGGCACAUUAAAGGGAGCUUGCUGGGCACUGUGGGAUUCAUCGAUAGGUAAGAAGGAGAGGCAGAGUCCCUGAACUCCAUCAGCCUCCAGUCUGGACAAGACCAGACACCCACACGCAAAGUGGAGCCAGGUGGUGCCCUGUGGGAAGCCAGCAUGUGCCAGGCACCUGGAGAAGGAGCCAGAACUGGGUCUGGGCUGACGGAGGGGAGACCCACAGGCUACGUGGAGAGAAGAAGCAUGUCUGGCAACGGAGGGCACGCGGCUGGAGGGGCUGAGGGGAUGCAUGAGAAAAUGAGUUUGGCUUCAAAUAUGGAUGUCACCAAAUGCCAGCACAGGGCCUCAGACUGGACACACGGCCCGUGGGUCACCUGGUGCCUGUAAAGGGGCACCGUGUUUCUUCUGAAAUAUCUCUGGCCACUGGGGAAACGCCGUGUGUGUGCUGGAGUCACAUUGCAUCCCUUGCCUGGACACAAGAGCAGGCCCCACCUUGCUCUAUCUUCAAAACGCUACAGCACGGAGCCCCCAGAAGCAGGGGUACCCCUUGGGUGGCCGCCUAAGUCAAGAGGCCUUGAUAACCGGAAAGUCACACUUUUUUCUUUCUGAAUGGUGCAAAUCAAUAGGAAAAAUCGAGAUUGUCUGAGGAAGCUUUCUUCAAACAUUACAGAACAUUGUCCACACUGAAUGUUUUGUUCAUGUUUGAGGGCUGUGUAGAGGGGAUUGAUGGAGAUGGUGGGGCUGCUAAGGCCCCCAUAUGUUCCAGAGCUUGAGGCACAGGCCCAGCACCCAGUGGGUGCCCGGUGUGAUUGCAGAGCCUUCUGAACGGUGCUGUGUGGGUCAUGGGAGCACUUGACCCAUCCCAACCAGAGGAUGGCCAUGUUGGGGGAUGUGGCUCCAGAACCCCCAGUGCCCAGCCCCUACCAGUCUUCUUCCCGAGCUGAUUUCCGAGGGCAUAAAUCUGCUUCCCUCCUGCCCCUCACUCCUCUAAAGAAAGGCCUCCUGCAUCCCUGGAUCCCCGAUUUCAUCUUUGAGGCCACCAAAAAGUCACUUCCUCCUUCCUUGGUCUAGAUGGUCCUGACCCCAGCAGAGCAGGGACUCGGCAGGGCCACUGCUUAGGGAGCAUUGAGAGCAAAGGGGCUGCUUUCAGCCGGUGGUUCUCAAAGUCAAGGCUUGAUGAAGACACGUGCAGAAAGGAGAUGGGCUGGAACUGGGGGGCCUCAACUCUGCAGCUGGGGAACCUGACCCAAGUUGACCAAAGCUGGGGGACGCAGGCAGAGUCUGGCUCUGGCACCUCCAGCUGAGCCACCACAGAGGGUCCUCAGCUGUAAAGCAGGGACCCAGGGACCAGCAGCCACAAGGCAGGGUUGCUGGGAGGGGCCAUGAGCUGAGCAGCUCCGAGGCUACACCCCAACUGUGUCUGAUUAAGUCCUUUCUGUUACUCUUUAGGACUCGCCCCCAACGCCAACCCUCCUGAC
Molecule: long non-coding RNA, 2462 nt
Filed under: Homo sapiens (human)
Lineage: Eukaryota; Metazoa; Chordata; Mammalia; Primates; Hominidae
Description: HSALNT0177633
Source: RNAcentral